Molecule: ribosomal RNA, 425 nt
Filed under: uncultured bacterium
Lineage: Bacteria
Description: bacterial SSU rRNA
Rfam family: Bacterial small subunit ribosomal RNA
Source: RNAcentral
GGGGAAUUUUGGACAAUGGGCGCAAGCCUGAUCCAGCAAUGCCGCGUGCAGGAAGAAGGCCUUCGGGUUGUAAACUGCUUUUGUACGGAACGAAACGGUUCUCUCUAAUACAGGGGGCUAAUGACGGUACCGUAAGAAUAAGCACCGGCUAACUACGUGCCAGCAGCCGCGGUAAUACGUAGGGUGCAAGCGUUAAUCGGAAUUACUGGGCGUAAAGCGUGCGCAGGCGGUUAUGUAAGACAGAGGUGAAAUCCCCGGGCUCAACCUGGGAACUGCCUUUGUGACUGCAUAGCUAGAGUACGGCAGAGGGGGAUGGAAUUCCGCGUGUAGCAGUGAAAUGCGUAGAUAUGCGGAGGAACACCGAUGGCGAAGGCAAUCCCCUGGGCCUGUACUGACGCUCAUGCACGAAAGCGUGGGGAGCAAAC